RNAcentral lists this long non-coding RNA (1963 nucleotides) under Oryzias sinensis (Chinese medaka). RNAcentral describes it as "lncRNA (ENSOSIG00000022507.1)". The record is from RNAcentral. Lineage: Eukaryota; Metazoa; Chordata; Actinopteri; Beloniformes; Adrianichthyidae.
CUAUAGCUAUAUAUAGAUAUUUAUAUAAAUAACUGUCAUUAAUUUGAAUGAAUUUAAAUUUCUUUGUUUUUUCUUUUCUUUCAUUUUUUGUUCUCAAGCAACUCGUUUUGAGGCAACCCGUAAAAUUAACUUGCUGCUGAAGACUGAUGAACCUCUAGAACUGACCAAGAGGAAAUCGGUCCUGCCUCAAAAAUAUCAAGAUGAGUCAGAUAACUCGACCAUCACUGACAGUCAGAUUCUUACUCAGUGGUUACAUGUCAAGGUGAUAUCAAGUUAUAUGGAGCUCUUUUGUAAUAUUUCUCAAUGAAUGUUACAUCAAAUUGUGGAAGUGAUUUUUAGUUCUGAUUUGCAGUUAUAGACUGCAAUGUUUAGCUUUAAAAUAUAAACCAUCAUUUGUAGUUCUUGUUACUGAACCUGUUGUUUUUGCAGUUGAGCUACUAAACUGAAACAUCAGUUGUUUUUUUCUUUUUCUGUAUUAAUGAUUUGAUUUUUCUCUCUCUGGACACCCAGAAGUCAAAGGUACAGAAAAGAAAAGACCCUGCUGAAGACUUUCUUGAGAUGUACUGUCAUCCAAAAACAAGUUCAAGGGAUAGAAAUCCAGAAAAGACAGUAUCUGAAUUAAUGCAGGAGAUCAAGGAGCUGAAAGAGGAGAACGCUAACUUGAAGGAGAUGGUUGUUCAAGGUAUUUGUUCAUAUUAUUUACUAAAUUAUUUGACAAAUCAUUUUUCUAAAGCGUUUUACCCUGCCAUUACUGUGUUGCAUUGUUUUUUACUUGCCACUGAUGUAAAAAUAAUUUUUGUGUUUAUAUUUUUGUUUCUACUGUGUGCAGAUAUACCAGAACUCAUGAACACCAUGAAAAAUGUAAUUAAGUCGGUUGUACCUACUAAGCGAUCCAGGCUUGAGCUUAAUACACCACCGAUGCCCCCCCAGAGUUUUAGUUCCUCAGCACCGUCCCACCCUGGAGCUACAGAAUCCAGUUCCGUGUCUGACACUGUGACUCCAUCCCAGAAGGACUCGCAGUCUUCUAAGGUGGAGAUCUACCCUGGAACUGGAGUCCUGGUGGAGAAACUGGCGUGGACGUACGCUUUAAAUUCACAUUCAGCCACUGGAUUUGUGAGACAUCUAGUCACAGCAGUCUUCCCACCAGAGAUACUGCUGGUGAGCAAUCUUCGCGGGGGCAAACGAGGUGGAGGCGAUGCUCGUCUACCAUUGGACAAGCAUAAAUUGGAUGCCAUUUACAGUGCAACUCUUGAGAGGUGGCCAGGGACACAGAUCGCCAGCAUCGGAACCACAAUAAAUGGCAAGAUUACAGAACUCCGGGCGAAAAGUAAAAAUGUUGCCGUGCCAUAAGUUGUCAUGGUUACGCUUUGGGUUGGUUCUUAAGGUUGUUUCCUUUUUUAUUUUUAAGGCCCUUCCUUGUUUGUUUAGUUUAGUUUGACUUCCCUCGUCCCAAUCUUUCCUGAUCAUUGGCACCUAUGUCUCGUCAGCCCCGUUAGUAUAUAUGUCUUGUCACUCCCUUCCUCUUGUGCUGAUCCGUACUGUUAGUUCCCCCCUUCAAGUGGUUUUGGUUCUAUUGUCAAGCUUAGAUAAGUCUGUUCUCAGUUUAUGUUACUCUUUUGGUAUUUGGAUUCCCUGUGGUACAGCGUCCUUUGUUAAAUAAAUAGAUUUUGUUUUUUCGAACUCCUGCUGCUUCCUGUCCUGCAUUUGUGUCCUCUACCAACCCUAAACGUUACAGGAUUGUUCCUUAUUUAAAUUUAGUUUUUAGUGUUAUAGACAUUGAAGAACUGUAUUUAUGUGAAGGGAAGGGAAUUGUAAUAGCUGAAAUUAGUUUUAAGUGAUGUGCCUGUUUGUAGUUGCAAUUUGUAAGGCAAUUUCAGUGUCCAUAUACCGUAAUUUCAAAUGAAGUCAUGCCACUUCAACAUGUGCUUUAUAUAAGUUUAACAAUUAACACUUGACAUUAUAC